This 497-nucleotide ribosomal RNA is filed under the name uncultured bacterium. RNAcentral's name for it is "partial 16S ribosomal RNA". It matches the Rfam family "Bacterial small subunit ribosomal RNA", at positions 28 to 507 of the family's 1533-position model. The record is from RNAcentral.
GAUGAACGCUGGCGGCGUGCCUAAUACAUGCAAGUCGAGCGAACAGACGAGGAGCUUGCUCCUCUGACGUUAGCGGCGGACGGGUGAGUAACACGUGGAUAACCUACCUAUAAGACUGGGAUAACUUCGGGAAACCGGAGCUAUUACCGGAUAAUAUAUUGAACCGCAUGUUUCAUUAGUAAAAGACGGUUUUGCUGUCACUUAUAGAUGGAUCCGCGCCGCAUUAGCUAGUUGGUAAGGUAACGGCUUACCAAGGCAACGAUGCGUAGCCGACCUGAGAGGGUGAUCGGCCACACUGGAACUGAGACACGGUCCAGACUCCUACGGGAGGCAGCAGUAGGGAAUCUUCCGCAAUGGGCGAAAGCCUGACGGAGCAACGCCGCGUGAGUGAUGAAGGUCUUCGGAUCGUAAAACUCUGUUAUUAGGGAAGAACAAAUGUGUAAGUAACUAUGCACGUCUUGACGGUACCUAAUCAGAAAGCCACGGCUAACUACGUG